AGUGAACGCUGGCGGUAGGCCUAACACAUGCAAGUCGAACGGCAGCACAGUAAGAGUUUGCUCUUACGGGUGGCGAGUGGCGGACGGGUGAGGAAUACAUCGGAAUCUACUUUUUCGUGGGGGAUAACGUAGGGAAACUUACGCUAAUACCGCAUACGACCUACGGGUGAAAGCAGGGGAUCUUCGGACCUUGCGCGUUUGAAUGAGCCGAUGUCGGAUUAGCUAGUUGGCGGGGUAAAGGCCCACCAAGGCGACGAUCCGUAGCUGGUCUGAGAGGAUGAUCGGCCACACUGGAACUGAGACACGGUCCAGACUCCUACGGGAGGCAGCAGUGGGGAAUAUUGGACAAUGGGCGCAAGCCUGAUCCAGCCAUACCGCGUGGGUGAAGAAGGCCUUCGGGUUGUAAAGCCCUUUUGUUGGGAAAGAAAAGCAGCAGGUUAAUACCCCGCUGUUCUGACGGUACCCAAAGAAUAAGCACCGGCUAACUUCGUG
This 492-nucleotide ribosomal RNA is filed under the name uncultured bacterium. RNAcentral describes it as "partial 16S ribosomal RNA". It matches the Rfam family "Bacterial small subunit ribosomal RNA", at positions 29 to 507 of the family's 1533-position model. The record is from RNAcentral.